GUCAUGAAUCUCGUUCAUCUGAUUGUUUCUGCUUUUACAUAUCCAUCUCAGAAGCAUUUUUGGAGGGUUUUUUGCAUAUGUGGGCCUGGAAAACAACUCCUUACCAGGGCUGUCCGUGCAAAUUGGUGGUGAUUAAGCUCAGUGAGUGGCCAAUGCCCAUCAGCUGUGAUGAAAGGCAGCUCAGUAUAUUUCCUUCAUCUGCAGUUAGGGGUUGAACCAUGAAGAAGUGGCUUUGAGGUUAGGUGAGCAAUUUCAGGCUUGGGGCUGGCUGUGGGAAGCUGCUGAAGGAGAAGCAGGAAGAGUGAGAGUUAUUAAGCAUGAUCUUGGGAUUUUUACUUCAAAGAGGAGAAAACCCUGCUAGAAGCUCCAUGAGCGUCUUUUGCUCUGUGAAUGCCCUUGGGAGCUUGCGUUAUGCACCAAGGCUUUGUCACUGUGACUUACAAGGCAAUCUCAAUACAGUAAUGCUGCAUGACGGAACUGCACGCACACGGGCCUCCCCUGUGUCUCAGCGUGGUGUGGGGCUAAUGCUGCAUUUCCUAUCCGUGUCUCUUCCAGAACUGCCAGAUGUGAUCCCUGCUCACGGCGUCAGGCUUCUAAGAAUCAUUUUUGAGCUCUUGGUUCCUGCUGUCACUCUGCUCUCCUGCCAGAAAUUAGCUUUUGGAGCAAUCUUGACCGAGGAGACCUUAAGUUUUGAUCCUCUCUGUAAAUGAAAGCAAAACAUAUCAGAAGGAUGGGGCAUUACUCUUCCUUUUUGGUUUUUGUGCUUUUUUAUUUUUUCCUUUGCUUUAUUCUGUUGUUUUUCUGUUCUUUGAUUUUGUUUUGUAAACCAGGAAAUUUAGAUAAAAUUGCACUUAAAUAUGGCUGGUCUCAUCCACAUGCCUUGCUAUGAGUGUUCUAUCCUACCUGCCUAAUAGGAGCCAAGAUCGGCACCUUAACACUAAUUCAUAGGAUCAUUUGAGUUGGAAGGAUCUCUUUAAGGGCUGUCAGGUGCCAGCCCUGCAUUGAGCAGGGACACCCACAGCUCCAUCAGUGCUCACAGCCCAUCCCCUGACCUUGGCUGUCUGCAGGGAUGGGGCACCAUCCUCCUAAU
This 1090-nucleotide long non-coding RNA is filed under the name Coturnix japonica (Japanese quail). Its description in RNAcentral is "lncRNA (ENSCJPG00005020626.1)". The record is from RNAcentral. Lineage: Eukaryota; Metazoa; Chordata; Aves; Galliformes; Phasianidae.